RNAcentral lists this ribosomal RNA (310 nucleotides) under uncultured Glomeromycotina. Its description in RNAcentral is "LSU rRNA". The record is from RNAcentral. Lineage: Eukaryota; Fungi; Glomeromycota.
UUGAAAGGGAAACGAUUGAAGUCAGUCAUGCCGGCGGAAUCAACUUAGGGGAAACUCUGAGUGCACUUCUUCGCUUGGCAGGUUAGCGUCGAUUUUGGAUGUCAUAAAAUGGCUGGGGGAAGGUAGCUCUUUCGGGAGUGUUAAGCCCUUAGUAGAUGUGAUGUCCGGGAUCGAGGAUUGCAACGGAUACCUUUUGGGCUAACCGCCUAGUCUCUAAUAUGAAGUUGGGUUAUGGACAGCACGCUGACUGUGAUCUGAUUUUCGAUUAAAAGAUUAGAGCGAGUGUAAAUUCGUUAAGGAUGUUGACGUA